AGUGAACGCUGGCGGUAUGCCUAACACAUGCAAGUCGAACGGCCGCACAGUAAGAGUUUGCUCUUACGGGUGGCGAGUGGCGGACGGGUGAGGAAUACAUCGGAUUCUACUUUUUCGUGGGUGAUAACGUAGGGAAACUGACGCUAAUACCGCAUACGACCUACGGGUGAAAGCAGGGGAUCUUCGGACCUUGCGCGAUUGAAUUAGCCGAUGUCGGAUUAGCUAGUUGGCGGGGUAAAGGCCCACCAAGGCGACGAUCCGUAGCUGGUCUGAGAGGAUGAUCAGCCACACUGGAACUGAGACACGGUCCAGACUCCUACGGGAGGCAGCAGUGGGGAAUAUUGGACAAUGGGCGCAAGCCUGAUCCAGCCAUACCGCGUGGGUGAAGAAGGCCUUCGGGUUGUAAAGCCCUUUUGUUGGGAAAGAAAAGCAGCAGGUUAAUACCCCGCUGUUCUGACGGUACCCAAAGAAUAAGCACCGGCUAACUUCGUG
This 492-nucleotide ribosomal RNA is filed under the name uncultured bacterium. RNAcentral describes it as "partial 16S ribosomal RNA". It matches the Rfam family "Bacterial small subunit ribosomal RNA", at positions 29 to 507 of the family's 1533-position model. The record is from RNAcentral.